UAGGGAAUCUUCCACAAUGGACGCAAGUCUGAUGGAGCAACGCCGCGUGAGUGAAGAAGGUCUUCGGAUCGUAAAACUCUGUUGUCAGAGAAGAACACGAGUGAGAGUAACUGUUCAUUCGAUGACGGUAUCUAACCAGCAAGUCACGGCUAACUACGUACCAG
Molecule: ribosomal RNA, 164 nt
Filed under: uncultured bacterium
Lineage: Bacteria
Description: partial 16S rRNA
Rfam family: Bacterial small subunit ribosomal RNA
Source: RNAcentral